RNAcentral lists this ribosomal RNA (342 nucleotides) under Triticum aestivum (bread wheat). RNAcentral describes it as "partial small subunit ribosomal RNA". The record is from RNAcentral. Lineage: Eukaryota; Viridiplantae; Streptophyta; Magnoliopsida; Poales; Poaceae.
AUGACGGCAAGUCGGCCACGACCGCGAGGGGGAUGGGGGCCUGACCGAGGACCGGUAGGUGCGGGGUCGAUGGCAUGGUUGGGGGUGCGCUCCAUGGCAGCGGCAGCCGUGAGAGGCGGGGUGAAACUUCAUAUGGCAGUUGGCCACACACGCACUGUGUUUUUUGAUUUGGGCACGACAACGCGUGAUCUAAAUUUGGAUCACCUUGGUCUUAUUUUUUGUGCACCACAACUUUAUAUGUUUAGAGCAUCUCCAACAGACACGCCAAAUAAAGCGCGCGUUGAAAAAGAUGCCUAUAUAGCCGCAAUAAAAAACAGCUCUCCAGCAGAAGCUGUAAAAUAA